UUGGGUGUAAGUGUGCGUAGGCGGGUCUUUAAGUCAGGGGUGAAAUCCUGGAGCUCAACUCCAGAACUGCCUUUGAUACUGAAGAUCUUGAGUUCGGGAGAGGUGAGUGGAACUGCGAGUGUAGAGGUGAAAUUCGUAGAUAUUCGCAAGAACACCAGUGGCGAAGGCGGCUCACUGGGCCCCGAUACUGACGCUGAGGCACGAAAGCGUGGGGAGCAAAACAGGAUUAGAUACCCCCGUA
This 241-nucleotide ribosomal RNA is filed under the name uncultured Pseudomonadota bacterium. RNAcentral describes it as "uncultured proteobacterium partial 16S ribosomal RNA". It matches the Rfam family "Bacterial small subunit ribosomal RNA", at positions 554 to 792 of the family's 1533-position model. Lineage: Bacteria; Pseudomonadati; Pseudomonadota. The record is from RNAcentral.